This 460-nucleotide ribosomal RNA is filed under the name uncultured bacterium. RNAcentral describes it as "partial 16S ribosomal RNA". It matches the Rfam family "Bacterial small subunit ribosomal RNA", at positions 338 to 795 of the family's 1533-position model. The record is from RNAcentral.
CCUACGGGAGGCAGCAGUGAGGAAUAUUGGUCAAUGGGCGAGAGCCUGAACCAGCCAAGUCGCGUGAAGGAUGAAGGAUCUAUGGUUUGUAAACUUCUUUUAUAUGGGACUAAAGUGAGGAACGUGUGCCUUUCUGUAUGUACCAUAUGAAUAAGCAUCGGCUAACUCCGUGCCAGCAGCCGCGGUAAUACGGAGGAUGCGAGCGUUAUCCGGAUUUAUUGGGUUUAAAGGGUGCGUAGGUGGUUAGUUAAGUCAGCGGUGAAAGUUUGUGGCUCAACCGUGAAAUUGCCGUUGAGAUUGGUUGGCUUGAGUAUAGUUGAGGUGGGCGGAAUGCGUGGUGUAGCGGUGGAAUGCAUAGAUAUCGCGCAGAACUCCGAUUGCGAAGGCAGCUUACUAGGCUAUAACUGACGCUGAGGCGCGAAAGCGUGGGGAUCAAACAGGAUUAGAUACCCUUGUAGUC